Non-coding RNA from Acanthosepion pharaonis, 110 nucleotides. Lineage: Eukaryota; Metazoa; Mollusca; Cephalopoda; Sepiida; Sepiidae. The record is from the annotation of a GenBank genome assembly.
UGUCCAUAUCAUGCUAAACACCAGUUCUCGUACAAUCACUGACAUUCAGCAACAUUCAGCCUGCUAAGUACCUAGAUGGGUGACCACAUGGGAAUACCAAGUGCUGUCAG